Molecule: long non-coding RNA, 161 nt
Organism: Ceratosolen solmsi marchali
Lineage: Eukaryota; Metazoa; Arthropoda; Insecta; Hymenoptera; Agaonidae
Exons: 3
Source: RefSeq, a predicted model, not a curated record
CAAAGGAUGCAUUGCAAAGUGUUUUGGUAAGGAUAAGGAAAAAUGUACAAAUAAUUGUGAAUCUCAACCUUGGUGAUAAUUGGUUUUAGCUCGGCUAAAUCAUAUUUUAAAUUUUAGUAAGUAACGAAUAAGAUGUUUCCAACAACAUAGCAUAAUCAGCA